CGGGUGAGUAACACGUGAGAAUCUGCCCUCAGGAGGGGGAUAACGGCUGGAAACGGCCGCUAAUACCCCAUAUGCCGAGAGGUGAAAUGAAUUUCGCCUGAGGAUGAGCUCGCGUCUGAUUAGCUAGUUGGUGGGGUAAGAGCCUACCAAGGCUUCGAUCAGUAGCUGGUCUGAGAGGAUGAUCAGCCACACUGGGACUGAGACACGGCCCAGACUCCUACGGGAGGCAGCAGUGGGGAAUUUUCCGCAAUGGGCGAAAGCCUGACGGAGCAACGCCGCGUGAGGGAUGAAGGCCUCUGGGCUGUAAACCUCUUUUAUCAAGGAAGAAGAUCUGACGGUACUUGAUGAAUAAGCCACGGCUAAUUCCGUGCCAGCAGCCGCGGUAAUACGGGAGUGGCAAGCGUUAUCCGGAAUUAUUGGGCGUAAAGCGUCCGCAGGCGGCCUCGUAAGUCUGUCGUUAAAGCGUGGAGCUUAACUCCAUUUCGGCGAUGGAAACUGUGAGGCUUGAGUGUGGUAGGGGCAGAGGGAAUUCCCGGUGUAGCGGUGAAAUGCGUAGAUAUCGGGGAGAACACCAGUGGCGAAGGCGCUCUGCUGGGCCAUAACUGACGCUCAUGGACGAAAGCCAGGGGAGCGAAAGGGAUUAGAUACCCCUGUAGUCCUGGCCGUAAACGAUGAACACUAGGUGUCGGGGGAAUCGACCCCCUCGGUGUCGUAGCCAACGCGUUAAGUGUUCCGCCUGGGGGAGUACGCACGCAAGUGUGAAACUCAAAGGAAUUGACGGGGGCCCGCACAAGCGGUGGAGUAUGUGGUUUAAUUCGAUGCAACGCGAAGAACCUUACCAGGGUUUGACAUCCUGCGAAUCCCUUGGAAACGAGGGAGUGCCUUCGGGAACGCAGUGACAGGUGGUGCAUGGCUGUCGUCAGCUCGUGUCGUGAGAUGUUGGGUUAAGUCCCGCAACGAGCGCAACCCACGUCUUUAGUUGCCAGCAUUCAGUUGGGCACUCUAGAGAGACCGCCGGUGAUAAACCGGAGGAAGGUGUGGAUGACGUCAAGUCAUCAUGCCCCUUACAUCCUGGGCUACACACGUACUACAAUGCUACGGACAAAGGGCAGCAAACUCGCGAGAGCUAGCAAAUCCCAUAAACCGUGGCUCAGUUCAGAUCGUAGGCUGCAACUCGCCUACGUGAAG
Molecule: ribosomal RNA, 1188 nt
Filed under: Synechococcus sp. BN31
Lineage: Bacteria; Bacillati; Cyanobacteriota; Cyanophyceae; Synechococcales; Synechococcaceae
Description: bacterial SSU rRNA
Rfam family: Bacterial small subunit ribosomal RNA
Source: RNAcentral